UACGUAGGGCGCAAGCGUUGUCCGGAAUUAUUGGGCGUAAAGCGCGCGUAGGCGGUUACUCAAGUCGGAUGUGAAAGCCCUCGGCUUAACUGAGGAAGUGCACCCGAAACUGAGUAGCUAGAGUACCAAAGAGGGUCGCGGAAUUCCCGGUGUAGAGGUGAAAUUCGUAGAUAUCGGGAGGAACACCGGUGGCGAAGGCGGCGACCUGGGUGGAUACUGACGCUGAGGCGCGAAAGCGUGGGGAGCAAACAGG
RNAcentral lists this ribosomal RNA (253 nucleotides) under uncultured bacterium. RNAcentral's name for it is "partial 16S ribosomal RNA". It matches the Rfam family "Bacterial small subunit ribosomal RNA", at positions 524 to 776 of the family's 1533-position model. The record is from RNAcentral.